RNAcentral lists this ribosomal RNA (419 nucleotides) under bacterium. Its description in RNAcentral is "partial 16S ribosomal RNA". It matches the Rfam family "Bacterial small subunit ribosomal RNA", at positions 355 to 776 of the family's 1533-position model. The record is from RNAcentral.
UGGGGGAUAUUGCACAAUGGGCGAAAGCCUGAUGCAGCGACGCCGCGUGGGGGAUGAAGGCCUUCGGGUUGUAAACUUCUUUUGCUCUGAACAAGGCGCACCAUGGGGUGUGUUGAGUGUAGGGGUUGAUUAGCGCCGGCUAACUACGUGCCAGCAGCCGCGGUAAUACGUAGGGCGCGAGCGUUGUCCGGAAUUAUUGGGCGUAAAGGGCUUGUAGGUGGCUGGUUGCGUCUGUCGUGAAAGCUCAUGGCUUAACUGUGGGUUUGCGGUGGGUACGGGCUGGCUUGAGUGCAGUAGGGGAGGCUGGAAUUCCUGGUGUAGCGGAGGAAUGCGCAGAUAUCAGGAGGAAUACCGGUGGCGAAGGCGGGUCUCUGGGCUGUUACUGACACUGAGGAGCGAAAGCAUGGGGAGCGAACAGG